Molecule: ribosomal RNA, 492 nt
Filed under: uncultured bacterium
Lineage: Bacteria
Description: partial 16S ribosomal RNA
Rfam family: Bacterial small subunit ribosomal RNA
Source: RNAcentral
AGUGAACGCUGGCGGUAGGCCUAACACAUGCAAGUCGAACGGCAGCACAGUAAGAGCUUGCUCUUACGGGUGGCGAGUGGCGGACGGGUGAGGAAUACAUCGGAAUCUACUUUUUCGUGGGGGAUAACGUAGGGAAACUUACGCUAAUACCGCAUACGACCUACGGGUGAAAGCAGGGGAUCUUCGGACCUUGCGCGAUUGAAUGAGCCGAUGUCGGAUUAGCUAGUUGGCGGGGUAAAGGCCCACCAAGGCGACGAUCCGUAGCUGGUCUGAGAGGAUGAUCAGCCACACUGGAACUGAGACACGGUCCAGACUCCUACGGGAGGCAGCAGUGGGGAAUAUUGGGCAAUGGGCGCAAGUCUGAUCCAGCCAUACCGCGUGGGUGAAGAAGGCCUUCGGGUUGUAAAGCCCUUUUGUUGGGAAAGAAAAGCAGCAGGUUAAUACCCCGCUGUUCUGACGGUACCCAAAGAAUAAGCACCGGCUAACUUCGUG